ACGACUACAUUAGACUACCCUGUAGUCCUAGCCGUAAACGAUACUCGCUAGGUGUCGGCCACGGUGCGAACCGUUUGUCGGUGCCGUAGGGAAGCCGUGAAGCGAGCCACCUGGGAAGUACGGCCGCAAGGCUGAAACUUAAAGGAAUUGGCGGGGGAGCACCACAACGCGUGGAGCCUGCGGUUUAAUUGGAUUCAACGCCGGACAUCUCUCCAGGGCGACAGCAGAAUGAUGGCCAGGUUGAAGACUUUGCCGGAUUAGCUG
RNAcentral lists this ribosomal RNA (264 nucleotides) under uncultured archaeon. Its description in RNAcentral is "partial 16S ribosomal RNA". It matches the Rfam family "Archaeal small subunit ribosomal RNA", at positions 716 to 982 of the family's 1478-position model. The record is from RNAcentral.